AAAAAUGAAGCAAACAUUGCAAUCAGUUUCGACCUGAUCUAUGGUUUAACCCUUUUUUA
Molecule: transfer RNA, 59 nt
Filed under: Alectorobius atacamensis
Lineage: Eukaryota; Metazoa; Arthropoda; Arachnida; Ixodida; Argasidae
Description: tRNA-Arg
Source: RNAcentral